CCUACGAGUGGCAGCAGUGAGGAAUAUUGGUCAAUGGGCGCGAGCCUGAACCAGCCAAGUCGCGUGAGGGAGGACGGCCCUACGGGUUGUAAACCUCUUUUGCCGGGGAGCAACGGGCGCCACGUGUGGCGUCACUGAGAGUACCCGGAGAAAAAGCAUCGGCUAACGCCGUGCCAGCAGUCGCGGUAAUACUGAGGCUGCGAGCGUUAUCCGGAUUUCUUGGGCUUAAAGGUUUCGUAGGGGGAUCGUUAAGUCAGUGGUCAAAUUGCGGGGCUCAACCCCUUCCCGCCAUUGAAACUGGCUUUCUUGAGUGGAAGAGAAGUAUGCGGAAUGCGUGGUGUAGCGGUGAAAUGCAUAGAUAUCACGCAGAACCCCGAUUGCGAAGGCAGCAUGCCGGCUUCCGACUGACGCUGAAGCACGAAAGCGUGGGGAUCGAACAGGAUUAGAUACCCGAGUAGUC
Molecule: ribosomal RNA, 460 nt
Filed under: uncultured bacterium
Lineage: Bacteria
Description: partial 16S ribosomal RNA
Rfam family: Bacterial small subunit ribosomal RNA
Source: RNAcentral